AGACUCCCCAAUGAAUGGCUCCCCUGGGUAGUCUUAUUUAUCUUCCACUGUGGACAGAAAUGGCAGAUGAAAAAGUUUGAGAUCAGAGUGGUAAAAAUUGUGGAAAUACUGCUGGUGGAAUUCUGCCUUCAGCAUUCCAUCUUGCUCAUGUUACAGUUCUGUGUUACAAGAUGAAGUUGACACUUCCCUGGAGGGGCAGUUUAAUUGAUGUAGUUUCUCUCAUGCCCUCUUAGAGAGAUGAUGCUCUUGUUGUAUACUCCAUAACCAAAUAUCCAUUCUAAAUCAUCUUGUGUCC
RNAcentral lists this long non-coding RNA (295 nucleotides) under Crocodylus porosus (Australian saltwater crocodile). RNAcentral describes it as "lncRNA (ENSCPRG00005003048.1)". Lineage: Eukaryota; Metazoa; Chordata; Crocodylia; Crocodylidae. The record is from RNAcentral.